GGUUUUUCGUUUUUCACUUUUAGAGAUGCAGUUGUCGGCUGUAAAGAAGGAAAUUAUUUUUAAUAGUAUUUAUCGCUUAUAAUAAACACGCUUAUAAGAAAACCUCGCUUAAAAGAAACUCGUACAAAAGCACCUUGUACUUUCCCAUAUAUUUUAAUGUUGCAUUAUGUGUUUAUAAGAAACACGUUUAUAAGAAAAACACUGAUAUAAGAAACAUUUUUCAAACCACGAACUUUCUUGUUCACACGUAAAGUUGGUUGGAUAUAAGAAACUUUCAAAAAAAUCACGAAUUUAAAAAAAAUAUGAACAGACCCUUAAGAAAAAUUCAAAGCACCCUGUGCUUUGAUGUCAUUUGACUCAAAUGUCAUUUGAGUUUGACAUUUAAUAUUUGAAGAGAGUUACAGUCAUAAACAAAAAAUGCCAAGACUGGAAAAUUUCGUACGUCUUUCCCCCCAAAACCCUUUUGUGUACAGUGUUGUCUGUGAAUAUAUGUGAAAGCCACCACGUUGGUAAAUGACGUUAACACGCACACAUUUAUAGAUUCACGACAUUCACCACACAUCGGACACGAACACAACGAUAGGUUCACGACAUUCACCACACCUCGCAGCUUGUAGGCAAACGUCAGUUGACCGCUGAGUUUCCAGUCUUGGUAUUUUUUGUUUAUGGUUACAGUCAUAAACAAAAAAUACCAAGACUGGAAACUUUCGUACGUCUUUCCCCCCAAAACCCUGUUGUGUACCGUGUUGUCUGUGAAUAUAUGUGAAAGCCACCACGUUGGUAAAUGACGUUAACACGCACACAUUUAUAGAUUCACGACAUUCAACACACAUCGAACACGAACACAACGAUAAGUUCACGACAUUCACCACACCUCGCAGCUUGUAGGCAAACGUCAGUUGACCGCCGAGUUUCCAGUCUUGGUAUUUUUUGUUUAUGGUUACAGUUCAGUUCAAUUUAUUGUUUGUUGUGUUUGUUUUUUUUUCUGUCUCUGCUUAAAAUGUCGCGAAAUAAUAUUUCACUUAAAACGAAAUUAAUAAUCCUUGAGGAAAUGAAAUCGGGUAAAAAUAGAAAAGAAAUUUGUGAAAAAUAUAAAAUAUCUGAAAGCACAUUGUCUAAAAUUGUGAAGAACGAAAAACAGUUCGAAGAUAAAAAAUACAAGUGCAAGAAUUUAAACCGCAAAAGAAACAGAAAUGAACUCGUUGUGCCAGAGCUCUUAGAAAAAUAUGAUGUGGAAAACAUUUAUAACGCAGAUCAGACUGGAUUGUUCUUUAAGGCUCUUCCUACUGUGACCCAUGCCGAAAAUGGCCAUGAUAUCCAAGCGCCAAAAGUACCUAAAGAUAGAAUAACAUUACUCUUCAUAUGUAAUGCAACCGGGACAGACAAAUUUGUGUUUUCUAUUGGAAAAUAUAAGCAACCCAGAUGUUUCAGAAACCAAACAAUUCCAGUCCCUUACAAAUUUAAUAAAAAGGGUUGGAUGACAAGUACUCUUUGGAUUGAAAUAAUCAAAGAGCUUGAUGACGUUAUGAAAAAGAAAAAAAUUCUACUGUUAGCUGAUAAUGCCUCAUGCCACAAAUUGGAUUUUGAACCAAACAAAUAUUGAGAUCAAAUUUUUGCCACCUAACACAACGAGUCUUAUACAACCCUUGGACCAAGGGAUCAUCCACUCAUUCAAAUCCCACUACAGAAAGUGUUUGGUUAGGAAGCAAAUUCUAGCUUUUGAAGUCGGUGAUAUGAAAAGUUUCUUACGAGAAUUAUUAAUUUAUUAAAUGCUUUGAAAAUUGUAAAACGGUCGUGGUGGCUUGUUACCCCACAAACCAUACAAAAUGGAUUUAAAAAGGCUGGAAUUUUGAAAAGAAGAGAAGACCAAGAUGUAAUUCAAUGUGAUGAACCGGAACCAGAGUUAUUUAAUUUCGAUGAAAAUUUAGAAGGUGCAGAAAAUGAAAAUUGUUUUGGAGAGUUGGACGAUACCGAAAUUUUGAAUGAAGUACGAGAUGGUGAUGUUGAAAGAACUGACCAGCAAAUCGAAGACGAACAAGAAAAUGAGCAAAUACCAUUGCCAAAACCAACUAGAAGUGUAGCUUGUUAUUCAAAAUUCUAUAAAAUAAGACUAAAGUUAGCGGACGAAAGUAGAAAAAUUUUAUAUUUUUUUGAUGCCCAAAAUUGUUGCUAAUUAAAUGCUAAUUUGUUGCGCAAAAAUUAGUUUUGGAUAGUGAUGAUGAUAUCAUUCAUAACAUCGAAGAUAUUUUUAUCAAAAGCGUGAAGAAGUUUUGAUUCAAACAACAAUCAAUGACUAUUUUGAAGAGCUAUACCUAAGCUUAAAUAAGAAAAUGUUACCUUAUUAAUUUGUUUUGAUGAAUAGGUAGGUACCUACAUACUGAAGUAGAAAAAGUAUCUUUAAUUAAUGCGCUGUGAAUUUUUUGUUUUUGUUUUUUGUUAAAUAAAAUAAAUUUAUUUAUUGAUUACCUAAUGACCUUUAAGGCCGUGUGUUUAUUUGUUACAUAAUUGGAUUAAAUAUUUAGGCGAGGAUAAGUUUUUGGUACUAUUGGUAAGGUAUAUUUGUAUAAGAAACUUGUUUCUUAUAUCCGUUCUAAGAAUAUAAGAAACACUCGGUUAUAAGAAACAAAUAUUGUGCAAUUUUUGAGUUUCUUAUAAGCGUUAUGUACUUUAUUAUAAUAAUAACACAGUUUGAUGAAUGGCAACAUUCUCAUUGAUAGUGAGUCUGAAGAGCUUCCAGUCUGAAUAGCCACCAGUGAAUGAAGUCUUCCUCUUGCUUGGUAUGCUGUUUUGGUUUUACACUGAUAGUCGCCGUCAUUGACGGUCGGAUUAGUUUUCGCAGACCAGGACUAGACGUCCAUUACUUUGGUGGACUCUUUGUUGCGGAAUCAAAAAAAAUGUAUCUCAUUAAUUGUAGCUAAUUAAAUGCUAAUUUGUUGCGCAAACCGCAAACCAAAAAUUUGUAGCUCCCAGUUUUUGAAUUAUUGAAUUUCCCGCUAAAAUAAGUCUGAAGCUAGCGGAAAAAAUCUGAAAUGAUUGAAAUUAAUGAGUUUAGUUGACCUCCAAAUUUGUAGCUUUUUAAAUGCUUUUCAAUUAUGUACAUAAACUUGGUUUUUGUAGCUUGAACAGUUUUUUUUUAGUUAUUCAAAAUUCCGCUAAAAUAAGACUCAAUUUCAUAUGUAACGGUCAAAAUUUUCAAAAAAGUUGAAUUUUUAAAUUCUUUUCUUUUCUAGAAAUUGUAGCUUUGCAAAACAAAAUUUGCUGCGCAAAAAUUAAUUUUGUAGCUGUCCGUGAAAUGAAGCUCAAUUUGCUGACUUCAUUUAGAUUUGGUAAAAUGGCAGAGAAAAGUUUUGUAUAUUAACCUGACUUUGGGGAACAUUCUAUGAACAGCUCGAAGAUUACCCAGUUGAUUGAACUCCUCUUGUUCGUUUUCGAUCUCAUGGAGUGGAUGACUGCAGCAAGCGUUGGUAUAAGUGUUGGGAUCUAACAGAAUACUUUGUUGAGUUUUGAAAAGUUCAUGAAAUAAAACAAAAUUAUACCUUAUACAAAAUCUUCGCUGUACUAGCAACUCUCCUUUCGUAUUGCUGCCUUUCUUUCAGGAACAGGGAGGGGCACUGGGAUAACUGUUUAAUCUGAAAGUGAACUAAAUAAAGA
Episyrphus balteatus (marmalade hoverfly) is the source of this 3651-nucleotide long non-coding RNA. RefSeq lists it as uncharacterized. The transcript is spliced from 4 exons. NCBI's taxonomy places the organism in Eukaryota, Metazoa, Arthropoda, Insecta, Diptera, Syrphidae. The record is from RefSeq and is a predicted model, not a curated record.